ACUGCUCCUAGAGGCAUUUCAGGUGUGGCAGCUGUGUCACAUGCAUGUCAGUAGGUGGCAGAGAGGAGAGAGGCCAUGUCAAAGCUCAGUGUUCUGACCUGUGACCAUCUGAAUGAUUAGCAGACUAACAUU
Acomys russatus (golden spiny mouse) is the source of this 132-nucleotide small nucleolar RNA. RefSeq annotates it as small nucleolar RNA SNORA17. The transcript has a single exon. The record is from RefSeq and is a predicted model, not a curated record. NCBI's taxonomy places the organism in Eukaryota, Metazoa, Chordata, Mammalia, Rodentia, Muridae.